UACGGAGGAUCCAAGCGUUAUCCGGAGUGACUGGGCGUAAAGAGUUGCGUAGGUGGUUAUGUAAGUGAAUAGUGAAACCUGGUGGCUCAACCAUACAGACUAUUAUUCAAACUGUAUAACUCGAGAAUGGUAGAGGUAGCUGGAAUUUCUAGUGUAGGAGUGAAAUCCGUAGAUAUUAGAAGGAACACCAAUGGCGUAGGCAGGCUACUGGACCAUUUCUGACACUAAGGCACGAAAGCGUGGGGAGCGAACCGG
This 255-nucleotide ribosomal RNA is filed under the name uncultured bacterium. RNAcentral describes it as "partial 16S ribosomal RNA". It matches the Rfam family "Bacterial small subunit ribosomal RNA", at positions 524 to 776 of the family's 1533-position model. The record is from RNAcentral.